GGUGCUGCAUGGCUGUCGUCAGCUCGUGUCGUGAGAUGUUGGGUUAAGUCCCGCAACGAGCGCAACCCUUGCCAUUAGUUGCUACAUUAAGUUGAUCAAUCGAAUGUGACUGCGAGUGACAAAACGAAGGAAGGGGUGAAUGACGUCAAUCCCUCAUGUUCCUUAUGGGGAUGCAUACACCCUACAUACAAUGGUACGUACGGAUGCCUGCCAACCAGGGGGAGGGAGCCAAUCCCAGAAAGUCCGUCUCCGGACGGAUUGCUGUCUGUCACUCGCCUGAAUGAAGACUCAAUCGCAAUC
RNAcentral lists this ribosomal RNA (300 nucleotides) under uncultured Massilia sp. RNAcentral describes it as "bacterial SSU rRNA". It matches the Rfam family "Bacterial small subunit ribosomal RNA", at positions 1037 to 1335 of the family's 1533-position model. Lineage: Bacteria; Pseudomonadati; Pseudomonadota; Betaproteobacteria; Burkholderiales; Oxalobacteraceae. The record is from RNAcentral.